This is a long non-coding RNA of Saccostrea cuccullata (small rock oyster), 344 nucleotides long. RefSeq lists it as uncharacterized. The record is from RefSeq and is a predicted model, not a curated record. Lineage: Eukaryota; Metazoa; Mollusca; Bivalvia; Ostreida; Ostreidae. The transcript is spliced from 4 exons.
AAAAAACCUUUUUACAGCGGAAGAACUGGUUGUCUCGAUAUUUCGUCGUUAAUGAGGACGGUAUACAAUACUUCACUUCUGAUCAGUCAAUAGAAGCAUUGAGAGUGAUUCCGAGUACUGACGUGCGAGGAGUUCAGGAAAUACCGGGGUCGCAGUUUGGUCGCGAGAAUGUGUUUGAAAUCCAUACAUGUUGCAGAACAUUUUAUUUACAGUGUGAGAGCCAUGACGACCUAAGGGAAUGGGUAUCAGCCGUCAGAAGACUUCUACCUCAUCCCGUAAGUAAAUGUUACAUGUAAUCUUAAAUUGUAAAUGUGGCAAUAAUACCAUUGCUCGUUGGUUAGAAG